AGUGAACGCUGGCGGUAGGCCUAACACAUGCAAGUCGAACGCCAGCACAGUAAGAGCUUGCUCUUACGGGUGGCGAGUGGCGGACGGGUGAGGAAUACAUCGGAAUCUACUUUUUCGUGGGGGAUAACGUAGGGAAACUUACGCUAAUACCGCAUACGACCUACGGGUGAAAGCAGGGGAUCUUCGGACCUUGCGCGAUUGAAUGAGCCGAUGUCGGAUUAGCUAGUUGGCGGGGUAAAGGCCCACCAAGGCGACGAUCCGUAGCUGGUCUGAGAGGAUGAUCAGCCACACUGGAACUGGGACACGGUCCAGACUCCUACGGGAGGCAGCAGUGGGGAAUAUUGGACAAUGGGCGCAAGCCUGAUCCAGCCAUACCGCGUGGGUGAAGAAGGCCUUCGGGUUGUAAAGCCCUUUUGUUGGGAAAGAAAAGCAGCAGGUUAAUACCCCGCUGUUCUGACGGUACCCAAAGAAUAAGCACCGGCUAACUUCGU
RNAcentral lists this ribosomal RNA (491 nucleotides) under uncultured bacterium. RNAcentral describes it as "partial 16S ribosomal RNA". It matches the Rfam family "Bacterial small subunit ribosomal RNA", at positions 29 to 506 of the family's 1533-position model. The record is from RNAcentral.